Long non-coding RNA from Homo sapiens (human), 2085 nucleotides. Ensembl annotates it as long intergenic non-protein coding RNA 3066. The record is from Ensembl. Lineage: Eukaryota; Metazoa; Chordata; Mammalia; Primates; Hominidae.
UACAUUUAAACACAAUUCCUUUGUUCCCAUAUCCUGAAAUCAGUAAAUUUAAGCAAUUUUAUUUUUCAUUCUGUGCUUCAGGGAUCUAUGAGGGUCAACACAUAUUUAUCACACGCUGACCUUGUGCUCAGGCCUAUAGGAAAAUGAACCUCCCUGCCCGCAAUGACCUUAGAACCUAACUAAGGAUAUGGUUAAAACAAGCGCAGGAUUGGGUGAGACCUGCUCAAGGGUCAGGCGCUGGUUUGUCGGGGAGAAAUGUUGCCCAGGAAGGACAGGUGUGAAAGAAAGAGAAGAUCCUGCAAGACCGGAGGGCCCAGGAAAGUCUGGGGGACUCAAAGGAGAGUUUCAGGAUUGACCAUGGGUGGACAGGGCUCUGCAGACCAGGAUCUUUUCUAUGCACACUUGGGGCCAGAAAGUUCUUUGUGGUGGGGGCUGUCCUGUACAAUGCAGGAAGCUCAGCAGCAUCCCUGGCCUCCACCCACUCAAUGCCAGUGGCACUCCCUCCCUAGUUGUAAAUGUGUGCAGACAUUAGUACUUGUCACCUGCAGGGAAGAAUCACCCCACUGAGAACCACAUGCUGAGUCAAGGCAACAGCAUAGGAAUUGGAGCACGCAAGAGAGCUGGUCAACACAGAGAGAUGAGCUUCAGGGGCUGCUGGAUGUACUCCACCUGGAAGCAGAGGCCGAGGACCCCUCCUCCUGGACUAGGGCUCACCUCGCCUCCUGACUGUAUUCUGCCUGUGUUCUCCUCCAGUCCCACCCUUAUUUCUCUUUGUCUAAAUGGCAAACUCCCUUUAAGCAAGAAUUCAUGGCGUCUCCACAUUCGGCCCUCAAGAAACUUUUAUUGAGUUGAACUAAAACCAGGCAUGUCUUAAGUGUUCAUGGCUGAUAAUGCGGGAUCCUUCAACGCUGGAAACGCCCAGAUGGUAACGAGAGUUCUGAUAGUGCCGGAUCCUUCGACGCUGGAAACGCCCAGAUGAAACUUCAUGAUGAUCAACCACACCUCACAUUUGCUUCAUUCAGUCUAUGGACCAGGAAGAAUUUUCUGUGACACAUUCAGGUUCUUACUCAUUUACAGAGUCACAGAUCUGUCAGCCUGGGAACCGGCCCCCAAAUGGAAGACCUAGGCAGUUCUGAUGGGUCCAUCUGCAAGGGGAGUCACAGAAGUGUGUGAUGAGGAGAGGAAGAGAUACAACAGAUGUCUUAUGAGAAGCAGAGGGAGGACCUCAAGAGACUGCCUGGCCCAGUCCCUCACUAGGCGUAAGAAACAAACUCACCCAUCCAAACCCGAAGAAUGGACUCAGAGACCCAGAGAACAGCGAAAUUGAAAAAUGGAGACGUCAAGUUCCCUAGUCACAGAGCAGCUGUGAUGGGACCCACGUAAACAGCCCUGAUCAGUAGUGAAGAGCAACAUGUGGCACACAGGGCCUCCUGCACAAGCAACAGUCGCUGCUUGCUGUUACUGUGGGCUCCACGUUGGGAUCAGACACACCUGUCUUCAGUGGCUUGCAGUUGCAGCAAGGACCGAAUGGUCUAUUCUAAAAGAAAACAUUACAGGCAGGCAGUACCAGACCACUGUGCUUGCAGCCCUCAUGAGAAGGCUCAGAAGACACAGGAGCUGCCCUGGGUGUGAAUUUCGUGUCCAUGCUGGCUUCUCGCAGUGGCCCUUGGCAUAGGUUGGGAUCUUGCAGCAAGAUUCUUCAUCGGUUUCUCCAUCUCUGAAGACUUCUUGCCAACAGCUGUACACAGGUUUGUUCUAAUUCCCCAACCUUGCCACGACUGACCUGGGUCAUCACCAUGUGCUUAUUGAAGAGCCUUGGAAUACUGUAUAGACCCGUACAGAGUUGUUCAAAUAGACAAUUGAGGACGACUAUAAUAGUUUCUCAUUAGAAAUACAUGCUAAUAAACAUCAUGUCUUUGGUAUUAAGUGGCAAUUAGAUGAAACAACCUGAAAUUCUGUCUGAUACCAAGAUUGAACUUUGCUGAGAUUACUGUUUCACUCACCGAAAAUAUCAGAAUACUCAAGGGAGUUAUUUUUUUUCUUAAUGUAACUUUCAUAAAGGAAAUGAAAGAAAUGUGGAGACUG